UCUCUCUCUCUCUCUCGUGCUCUCUCUCUCUCUCUCUCUUUCCUUGACUCUCCCUUGUGCCCCAUAAAUAGUGCAGUCGUAAGCUAGUGAAUAAGUGAUGCUUUGCCCUGAUCAGCACAGCUAGGCCCACUCCGCCAGAUCCUAGCUCUUUGCUGGAAACUUCAGAGACUUUCUUCACACUGUGCAUGUGUACAUAUGUGUGUGUGAGGGAGGGAGAGUAUUUUCGUUCAGCUGUUGUUUUGUUUCUCUAGCUAUCCUUCCCGACACAUUCCAUCCUGCCCCACUGUUGGCCCCUCCGUGGCCGCUGCUGUCAUCCGCUGACAACCUGCCUCAUAUUUACAUACUGCUGCCUAUACGGCAGCCCUCCAGGGGGCGCUUCAAUUCCCCCACGACCAGACAAGCACCCUCGUGUGUGUGUGUGUUGUGUGGUGUGUGUGGUGUGUGUGUUGGUUGGGAAUGGUCUUUGCGCUUGUUUGUUGAUGCCUGCUCCCUCCCCUUGACAACCUGAGAGUGUUGAAUAUUUGAGGCCCGUGAGUUCUCUCCCAAUGAAAAGCAGAGUGAUGUAACAAUGUUUUGUGUGUGUGUGUGUGUGUGUGUGUGUGUGUGUGUGUGUGUUCGCAAAUGCCAGUAUACACAAUGUGUGUAUAUGGUGCGUUUAUUAAAAACACUGUUGGAACUACUAGUAUUAUUUGCAGUUUAAAUACAUUGCAGUUACUAGGUUUAAGUAUCUGCAAAUAUCUUUACAACUUCUUCGAAUCCAUUUUAUAUCACUUGAUGUCCAGUAGAAAUCAACAACAUGAAUUCUUGCAGAAACGGUGCCAUAAUCGUCAUGCAGGUUUUGGGAUCGGUUACAGUUGUAAUGUAGGUGGGAACUGACUGUUUUUAAAGACCGCACAGAUAACAUGACAAUCAUUUCUGGCGCUGUGGAAGUCCUGAUCUGUACUGUAGCCUUAACUGUGGCCUCUGAAACAUGCACUAACAUUCAGAAACACUGAAACCAAGUAAGUACGGUGCAGAGCGUAUCUACUAUUAAUACAGUGUGCCAUUGCCUCAGAUUUGAAGUCAGAAUAUCAAGCGGAAGCAAAGACAGUAGCUAGACAUGACUUAUAUUAUUUACCACAGUGAGGUGUGUGUGUGUGUGUGUAGUCAUGGAUUACAUUAAGAGGUAGAUGACUUCAUUAUUCAGUUCGUACAGGAUUUCGCCAAGUUUGUGAUUUGUCGCAGCCAAAAAUGCUUGAUUUCGCCGCGACUUAAUUAUUAUUUUUUUUUAAGUGAUGCAACUCUUCUUGUGCUUUUUUUUUGUGUGGAAAACUACUUGAAUUGGCAAAAUUGCAGUUGCACGGAAUAGUCUUGCACGGUCUUUCGCAGUGAUGUUUGUUGGUAACUUAGACCUUUUAGCUGUAUUUAUAUUUGAUGCCUCUGAAUGGAAGAGGGGCUUUGGCUGAAUGUCCGUUGCGAUGAUGCUACAUGAUGCGUCUUGGCCCAAAUCUAUGUAAAAUCCUUGAUCAUUUAGAACAAUUGCAAGCUCCUGUCAAUACCGCAGAGUUUGCUUGAUUUUGCGUUCAUUCCUGUGAUCGCACAACUGCAAAAUCUUGGAGGGGCUGAAUAUUAUAUGUUCGCAUAUGUUAUUAUACAGAGUUCUCAAUAGCGAUAGAACAUGAUUAAAGCGUAUAUCCAUUUCCACCCUUGGAGCGAUAUUUGGUGAAACCUUUUCAGAGUUUUCAGUAUUCCUUAUUUUUCAGUUUUAUUCUAAUUCCUUUCCAAUGAAGGUACACGAUACGGUAAAUCCUUCAAACUAUCCAAAUGAGCAUGCUCUUGAAUUUUCAAAUAUAGAUCCCUAGCAAUUCAUUGCAAGGCGUUCGAUUUGUACAAUUUACUAGUUUUAAAUGAAAGCUUUUCUUUAUAAAGAAACACAGUAUGUAUUAAAUAGAUAUUAUUAUCCCCAUUAUGCCAUGCUAUGACUUACCUUAACCUGGAGUUAUAGUUAUAGUGUGGCUCGGCACUGCUUGCUAAUUAUACAUAGCAAAGAAAGAGAUCCAGUCCUUUUAGCCCAACCCCCUCCCUAGUUUAAGAGAAAACAACACAGAUAACAGAUUAUAUGUUACUCAGAAUCUUGCUUUUAAGGGGCUCAUGAACAAUACGAGUUGGUGAGAUGAAACCUGUUUCUGUUCUCUGGAUAAAAGUACUCGGUAUUAAUUUCCUCUGUCAAGUAUUCAAGCUGUCAAAAUGACCAUGAUGCCUGUCUCUAGUUCAUGUUGCAUGAGCAGAUUUAGCUUACAUUUUAUAUUAUUUAGGUUUAUGAUCACUGUAAAUAUUGUUGGGUUUAUGUUGCUGACAUACACUUGUAUUUUGUGUGUGUGUGUGUGUGUGUGUGUGUGUGUGCGCGUGUGGCUGUCUGCCCAUGUCCCAGCUGCCCUAGCUUGUGGAAUGGCACAGUGUUUUAUUAGAAUGGGGAUCUGGGGGGCUCUCUUCAGACCCCUAACCCCAACACACACACACACACACACACACACACACACACACACACACACACACACAGUCUCCCCAAUCCCCCCUUCACUGUUGAUUGGCUGGCUACUUGAGGUAGCAGGAGGGGACAUGUUUAAGUUGUUUACUUGUUUUGUUGUUGUUUUGUUCCUGCUCUCUUGCUGAGCCGGAGACUCGGAUGAGUUUGUGGCAUGGUGAAUUCAAAUCAAAACCGCUCACCAUGGUGCAGCACAAAUCUUCGGAGAAAAUCAAGACAUUCGAAUUCAUUUUAUUACAACAUGGGACACCGGUUUGGGCUCUGUGUGUGUCUGCGCAUGUGGGUCUGCGUGGGGUUGUGUGCGUAUAAUGAAUAGUGAUGGAAGUAUGCAUCAGUUUGCAAAUUCUCCACACUUUCCAAGAUGUAGCUGUCGACACAAGUACACACACACACACACACACACACAGAUCCUUCGCUUUAUUCACAGAGCACCCCUCCUCGAGACGAUGAUCUAUAAGAGGGUUUUGAGAAAUGAAGGGAUAGAUGAAGCAGAGGGACGGAAAGACAGAGACGGAGGGAGCACGAGAGCGAGAUAGAGUGAACUUCAGCAGCUCGGCACACAGGGAGAUGUGGCGUCUGCUCUAAAUUGAAUAAUUUGAGGAGUGGUGUGAGAGAAAG
Long non-coding RNA from Ictalurus punctatus (channel catfish), 3142 nucleotides. Lineage: Eukaryota; Metazoa; Chordata; Actinopteri; Siluriformes; Ictaluridae. The record is from Ensembl.